This 1297-nucleotide long non-coding RNA is filed under the name Marmota monax (woodchuck). The record is from RNAcentral. Lineage: Eukaryota; Metazoa; Chordata; Mammalia; Rodentia; Sciuridae.
GUAUGAGAGUGUUCACAUGUGGGUGGACUCGAUCACACCAGGUAGAAAUCACAAGGUGUGUGCAAACCAAAGACAAAAACGUCAACUGAAGUUGGUUCUGACCCAGGUGACUUUCAAGGAAAUAUGAAACCUGUCAUCCAGGAGUAAUGCCAUUCGAUUUGUGUGGUCAGAGGUUCAAUGGUCUCCACUCCCUCACUGAUGAGAAGGAGAUCAGCACUUCAGGGUGACUGGGAAACUUAACACUUCACCUCCACCACUGGACAGGUAGGUUGACAGCCAUUGAACACACACACUCACAGUCAGGGCCACGAGGGCCCUGCAAGCUUUCCACAGAGGGACUUUCCUUGAUCGCGGAGAGAACUGUAUACAAGGACUGAAGAACUUGUUGGGUAGCUGUUGUUUUCACUGCCUUGAGGGAGGAAGGCAUUCUGUGGGCAAAGUCAGAGAACCACUAUGUGUAGGGGAUGUGAGUACUCAUGUGAGGGGAGAAAUGGCAACACCAGGUACAAAUCAGUAACUGUGAGCCGACCAAAGCCAACCCCAUCAAAAAAGAUGGGUGCUACUCAGGUGGUUUCUCUGUACCAUGGAACCAGUCACCAAGAGCAAUUAGUAAAAGCUGAGCAGCUGUUUUCAUUCAUGUUCACUCCAUUCUGUUUAUGCUGCAAAGGUUUCUAACAGCCUCCCAUUCACACCACUAGCUACAAAUGAAUUAGCACCCAGGGUGACUUGGACAAACAUGUAACACCCCCACUGGACACAUAAGAAAAAUGGAAAUAUAUUACAUACACACAGAGUUAUGCAGAGGAUAGCACAGUAAGCCAUCCAGGCCCACAGAGGGAUUGUCAUUGGAUGCAGAGAGAAGAGUGGGCAAGGGGCAAAGACUUUGUAGUGUGAUAGCAAAAGCAAAUGUGACUCCAUUUUGUUUUGUGACUUCAUCCUGUAAAACAACCAUGCCAAGUAGAAGAGUCAUGACUGGGGCAAGAUGUUCUUUUCCUUUUGCUAUAGAAUCCUUUAAGAACACGGAACUACCUAAUGGGGCAUUGUUUCUGUAAGUAGGGUAACAGGGCUCUGUUUCUGUAACUGGGGUGACUGGGCUAACUGUGAUUGGUUAGGCUUCCCUCCGCUUGACUGCACUGUCCCGCUUCUGUAACCUGGCUUGCUUGCAUUGGCUAGACCCCCUGAACAUCCCUUUUGCGGUUUUCAGGUUUAUAAGGAGUGCCCUUGCAAUUGUUUGGGGCUGAUCAGGGGAAGAGCUUUAUGUUCUGGUCAGCUGCCACCGGGGUGUGCUUCAAUAAAG